GUCGAGGGGCAGCAUGGUCUUAGCUUGCUAAGACUGAUGGCGACCGGCGCACGGGUGAGUAACACGUAUCCAACCUGCCGUCUACUCUUGGACAGCCUUCUGAAAGGAAGAUUAAUACAAGAUGGCAUCAUGAGUCCGCAUGUUCACAUGAUUAAAGGUAUUCCGGUAGACGAUGGGGAUGCGUUCCAUUAGAUAGUAGGCGGGGUAACGGCCCACCUAGUCUUCGAUGGAUAGGGGUUCUGAGAGGAAGGUCCCCCACAUUGGAACUGAGACACGGUCCAAACUCCUACGGGAGGCGGCAGUGAGGAAUAUUGGUCAAUGGGCGAGAGCCUGAACCAGCCAAGUAGCGUGAAGGAUGACUGCCCUAUGGGUUGUAAACUUCUUUUAUAAAGGAAUAAAGUCGGGUAUGCAUACCCGUUUGCAUGUACUUUAUGAAUAAGGAUCGGCUAACUCCGUGCCAGCAGCCGCGGUAAUACGGAGGAUCCGAGCGUUAUCCGGAUUUAUUGGGUUUAAAGGGAGCGUAGAUGGAUGUUUAAGUCAGUUGUGAAAGUUUGCGGCUCAACCGUAAAAUUGCAGUUGAUACUGGAUAUCUUGAGUGCAGUUGAGGCAGGCGGAAUUCGUGGUGUAGCGGUGAAAUGCUUAGAUAUCACGAAGAACUCCGAUUGCGAAGGCAGCCUGCUAAGCUGCAAC
RNAcentral lists this ribosomal RNA (690 nucleotides) under uncultured Bacteroidales bacterium. Its description in RNAcentral is "bacterial SSU rRNA". It matches the Rfam family "Bacterial small subunit ribosomal RNA", at positions 61 to 740 of the family's 1533-position model. Lineage: Bacteria; Pseudomonadati; Bacteroidota; Bacteroidia; Bacteroidales. The record is from RNAcentral.